Molecule: microRNA precursor, 79 nt
Filed under: Medicago truncatula (barrel medic)
Lineage: Eukaryota; Viridiplantae; Streptophyta; Magnoliopsida; Fabales; Fabaceae
Description: MIR5269 microRNA precursor family
Rfam family: MIR5269 microRNA precursor family
Source: Rfam by way of RNAcentral
UUGGUUUAAAUUAUUGUGGACCUACACUUUGAAAAUUGAACCCACACAAAGGGGUGGGACAUACCUUUAUUUCAUCUAA